UACGUAGGGUGCGAGCGUUAAUCGGAAUUACUGGGCGUAAAGCGCACGUAGGCGGUUAGUUAAGUUGGAUGUGAAAGCCCCGGGCUCAACCUGGGAAUUGCAUUCAAAACUGGCUAACUAGAAUACGGGAGAGGGGGGUAGAAUUCCAAGUGUAGCGGUGAAAUGCGUAGAGAUUUGGAGGAAUACCAGUGGCGAAGGCGGCCCCCUGGCCCGAUAUUGACGCUGAGGUGCGAAAGCGUGGGGAGCAAACAGG
Molecule: ribosomal RNA, 253 nt
Filed under: uncultured bacterium
Lineage: Bacteria
Description: partial 16S ribosomal RNA
Rfam family: Bacterial small subunit ribosomal RNA
Source: RNAcentral